RNAcentral lists this unclassified non-coding RNA (433 nucleotides) under soil metagenome. RNAcentral's name for it is "partial contains 5.8S ribosomal RNA, internal transcribed spacer 2, and large subunit ribosomal RNA". The stretch from base 1 to 120 matches the Rfam family "5.8S ribosomal RNA", at positions 35 to 154 of the family's 154-position model. The record is from RNAcentral.
GAUGAAGAACGCAGCGAAAUGCGAUACGUAAUGUGAAUUGCAGAAUUCAGUGAAUCAUCGAAUCUUUGAACGCAUAUUGCGCUCUCUGGUAUUCCGGAGAGCAUGCUUGUUUGAGUAUCAGUAAACACCUCAACUUCCAUAUCUUUUUUGUAAUGGGAGUUGGACUUGAGUGAUCCCAACGCUUUUCCUCACCGAAAAGUGGCGGGUUACUUGAAAUGCAGGUGCAGCUGGACUUUUCUCUGAGCUAUAAGCAUAUCUAUUUAGUCUGCCUAAAAAACAGAUUAUUACCUUUGCUGCAGCUAACAUAAAGGAGAUUAGUUCUUGUGCUGACUGAUGCAGGAUUCACAAAGACAGGCUUCGGCCGACUUUGUAAACUCGAUCUCAAAUCAAGUAAGACUACCCGCUGAACUUAAGCAUAUCAAUAAGCGGAGGA